RNAcentral lists this ribosomal RNA (378 nucleotides) under uncultured bacterium. RNAcentral describes it as "bacterial SSU rRNA". It matches the Rfam family "Bacterial small subunit ribosomal RNA", at positions 362 to 759 of the family's 1533-position model. The record is from RNAcentral.
UAUUGGACAAUGGGCGAAAGCCUGAUCCGGCCAUGCCGCGUGAGUGAUGAAGGCCUUAGGGUUGUAAAGCUCUUUUACCCGGGAAGAUAAUGACGGUACCGGGAGAAUAAGCCCCGGCUAACUUCGUGCCAGCAGCCGCGGUAAUACGAAGGGGGCUAGCGUUGUUCGGAUUUACUGGGCGUAAAGCGCACGUAGGCGGAUCUUUAAGUCAGAGGUGAAAUCCCAAGGCUCAACCUUGGAACUGCCUUUGAUACUGGGGAUCUCGAGUCCGGGAGAGGUGAGUGGAACUGCGAGUGUAGAGGUGAAAUUCGUAGAUAUUCGCAAGAACACCAGUGGCGAAGGCGGCUCACUGGCCCGGAACUGACGCUGAGUCGAAAG